GAGCUCAAAUUUGAAAUCUGGUAGCCUUCGGUUGCCCGAGUUGUAAUCUAGAGAAGUGUUUUCCGCGUUGGCCCAUGUACAAGUCCCUUGGAACAGGGCGUCAUAGAGGGUGAGAAUCCCGUCCUUGACAUGGACCCCCAAUGCUUUGUGAUACACUUUCAACGAGUCGAGUUGUUUGGGAAUGCAGCUCAAAAUGGGUGGUGAAUUCCAUCUAAAGCUAAAUAUUGGCGAGAGACCGAUAGCGAACAAGUACCGUGAGGGAAAGAUGAAAAGCACUUUGGAAAGAGAGUUAAACAGUACGUGAAAUUGUUGAAAGGGAAACGAUUGAAGUCAGUCAUGCUCUUUGGAUUAAGCCGUUCUGCGGUGUAUUUCAUUGAGCGGGGUCAACAUCAGUUUUGAUCGCUGGAAAAGGGCAGGAGGAAGGUAGCACUCUCGGGUGAACUUAUAGCCUCUUGUCGUAUACAGUGAUUGGGACUGAGGAACGCAGCAUGCCUUUUGGCCGGGAUUCGUCCACGUACAUGCUUAGGAUGUUGACAUAAUGGCUUUAAACGACCCGUCU
This 559-nucleotide ribosomal RNA is filed under the name Naganishia globosa. Its description in RNAcentral is "eukaryotic LSU rRNA". It matches the Rfam family "Eukaryotic large subunit ribosomal RNA", at positions 104 to 654 of the family's 3401-position model. Lineage: Eukaryota; Fungi; Basidiomycota; Tremellomycetes; Filobasidiales; Filobasidiaceae. The record is from RNAcentral.